GUAGUCAUAUGCUUGUCUCAAAGAUUAAGCCAUGCAUGUCUAAGUAUAAGCAAUCUAUACAGUGAAACUGCGAAUGGCUCAUUAAAUCAGUUAUCGUUUAUUUGAUAGUACCUUACUACUUGGAUAACCGUGGUAAUUCUAGAGCUAAUACAUGCUAAAAACCCCGACUUCGGAAGGGGUGUAUUUAUUAGAUAAAAAACCAAUGCUCUUCGGGGCUCCUUGGUGAUUCAUGAUAACUUAACGAAUCGCAUGGCCUUGUGCCGGCGAUGGUUCAUUCAAAUUUCUGCCCUAUCAACUUUCGAUGGUAGGAUAGUGGCCUACCAUGGUUUCAACGGGUAACGGGGAAUA
This 348-nucleotide ribosomal RNA is filed under the name uncultured fungus. RNAcentral describes it as "SSU rRNA". It matches the Rfam family "Eukaryotic small subunit ribosomal RNA", at positions 20 to 371 of the family's 1831-position model. Lineage: Eukaryota; Fungi. The record is from RNAcentral.